AACCCCUUCUUCUUCCUCCUCCUCUCUUUCUUCUCCUCAUCAGCUCCCUCCUCAUCGCUCGAAGAGCUGGAACUGGAGCUGCCGGAGUGGUGAAGCUUAUCGAGCAGAGUAUGCUUCUUCUCCUCCUCUGGCUUCUCAUCUUCUAUCUGUAUCUUCUCGACUCCGUUGACGAGAACCUCCUCGUCGGCCUUCUCCUCCUUCUUCUUGCCAAAGAAGUCAAACAGGCCCCGGUCCUGCACCUCGGUGCCCUCAACAGUGCGGCUUUG
Molecule: unclassified non-coding RNA, 266 nt
Filed under: Hevea brasiliensis (rubber tree)
Lineage: Eukaryota; Viridiplantae; Streptophyta; Magnoliopsida; Malpighiales; Euphorbiaceae
Source: RNAcentral